RNAcentral lists this long non-coding RNA (1748 nucleotides) under Ananas comosus (pineapple). RNAcentral's name for it is "long non-coding RNA (ACOM_LNC021942)". Lineage: Eukaryota; Viridiplantae; Streptophyta; Magnoliopsida; Poales; Bromeliaceae. The record is from RNAcentral.
AUUGAAUCUGAGCGGAAUUGAUUUAUUUAGAUUAAAUUUAAAAUUUUAAGCUUAUUUUAUUAAUUAAAAAUAUAAGUUUAAGUUUAAAAAUUAUAUUUAUAAAUUUUAAUUUUAAUUUGAACUUAAAUUAAAAAUUAAAAUUCAAUCAAAGUAUUUCAAAUCAAAUUUAUAAAUUUGAAUUUAAAAUUAAUUUAAAAUCUAAAAUUUUGUUCAAAUUUUAUUUAAAAUUUAAAUUAAAUUUAUGGAUUUAAAUCGAAAUUUAAAUUAUAAUUUUAAGUAUGAAUUUGAAUAAAUCAAAAUUUAGUUUAUUAUUUUGAAUUAUCCAUUCAAUUUUAAAUUUUAAUUUUUUUUUAAAAAAAUAUAUUUAAAAUUUUGGAAUCAUUUUAAAAAUUUGACAUAAAUUUUUAUUAUUUAAUUUUUAGUUUGAAUUUGAACUAAUAUAUUAUAAAGAUAAAAUUGACAUAUUAAUUUGAUUACAUUUCUGAUAUUUAUCUGAAUCAAACACUGACAAUGAGAAUCGUUCAUUCCGAUUCCGAUUCAGGUGACGAACCAAACAAAAUGAGGUAAUGAAUUAUUCCGAUUUCGUUUUCAGCUUAUUCUUAUUUCGAUUUCAAUACAGAUUCUGCUUCGAACCAAACACACUCUGCGUGUUUUCUGAAUGGAGCUCAUUCAUGCCUCUGUGUAGGUUUAUGAUAUCAGUGAUGAAUCAAUUCAAAAAUAAAGAACAUUUCUUUAUGCUAAAAUGUCCAAACAAAUGUUGCUAUAGCUUUUUCUAAAAAAUGUAACAGAUAAUAUAGACUUGGGGUUAAUUUCAUACAGGUUAGUGCAAAUAAAGUGAAUGUCAAAUAUAUCCCUAUAAAAUUCAACUUUCAUGUGUUGUCCUUGUAAAAGUUCUGAUAUUUUCAAAUAUAUCUCUGCCGUUAGAAUCCGUUAAAAAAAUUUAGUUAACUAUAUAUUAAACACUUAACUCUUGUUAGUUUUGACAUUUUUACCUCUUUAAAUUGUACUGUUAUAACUUUUUGAGGGAUAUAUUUGUGAUGGUAAAUUUGAAAAUAUAAACAGUUCUCACCGUUUGGUUCAGGUAUAAGCAACAACUAGCUAUUACAGGGAUAGGUACAAGUAUGGGGAUAAGAAAAAUAGCGUUUGGAUGAAAAUUGGGUUGUUCCCGAGGAUAAGAAAAAUAUUAAAAAGUUUUAUAUAGAAAAUGGAGGUGUUGGUGGGGAUAACCGAGAACUACUAUUCUCGGGUAAAAAAUUAGCGUUUGGAUAUAAAGGGGGGGAUAGGGGCCUAUCCCUAUCCCUAUUCCCAAACCAAACAGUGCUUAAUGGUAACAAACCAGAGAGAUAUAUUUGAAAACAUCAAGACUUUUGUAGGGACAAUACAUAAAACUUAAACUUUGUAAGGAUAUAUUUGUUAUUCACUAUGUUUGCAUCAACCUUAUAGACUUGACCCACUUAAAUAAAGGACAAAAAUAAAUAAAUAUUUGUGAAAUUGUGAGACUCAUAAUAAUAAAUAUAUAUAAUUUUCUUUCUCUGAAUUAGGCCUAUUUGCCUCAAAGUGGUCCCAUUUGUGUCCACUGAUCCAGCAACAUAUGCAGGGGGGCAUCAACAUGUGUUUUAGGUUGAAAUUAUUGGAAUCUGCCGCACUUCCUCACGGAAUAGACCUUACGCGACUGUGCUUUUUAAAUAGAGCUAUUUGAAAAAAAAAAAAAUCACUAAGUUUCCAUUUGUUUCUUGUUGCUUGCCCAA